This 22-nucleotide unclassified non-coding RNA is filed under the name Mus musculus (house mouse). RNAcentral's name for it is "oocyte_clustered_small_RNA4385". Lineage: Eukaryota; Metazoa; Chordata; Mammalia; Rodentia; Muridae. The record is from RNAcentral.
UUACCCUGCUGGCAAACAUUGA